UGGGGAAUAUUGGACAAUGGGCGCAAGCCUGAUCCAGCCAUGCCGCGUGAGUGAUGAAGGCCUUAGGGUUGUAAAGCUCUUUCACCGGAGAAGAUAAUGACGGUAUCCGGAGAAGAAGCCCCGGCUAACUUCGUGCCAGCAGCCGCGGUAAUACGAAGGGGGCUAGCGUUGUUCGGAAUUACUGGGCGUAAAGCGCACGUAGGCGGAUCGAUCAGUCAGGGGUGAAAUCCCAGGGCUUAACCCUGGAACUGCCUUUGAUACUGUCGAUCUAGAGUAUGGAAGAGGUGAGUGGAAUUCCGAGUGUAGAGGUGAAAUUCGUAGAUAUUCGGAGGAACACCAGUGGCGAAGGCGGCGCACUGGUCCAUUACUGACGCUGAGGUGCGAAAGCGUGGGGAGCAAACAGG
This 404-nucleotide ribosomal RNA is filed under the name bacterium. RNAcentral describes it as "partial 16S ribosomal RNA". It matches the Rfam family "Bacterial small subunit ribosomal RNA", at positions 355 to 776 of the family's 1533-position model. The record is from RNAcentral.